Molecule: transfer RNA, 65 nt
Filed under: Podarcis lilfordi (Lilford's wall lizard)
Lineage: Eukaryota; Metazoa; Chordata; Lepidosauria; Squamata; Lacertidae
Description: tRNA.Asn
Rfam family: tRNA (bases 2-58)
About the family: Transfer RNA (tRNA) molecules are approximately 80 nucleotides in length. Their secondary structure includes four short double-helical elements and three loops (D, anti-codon, and T loops).
Source: RNAcentral
GAACUCAGUCAGUAGAGCAUGAGACUGUUAAUCUCAGGGUUGUGGGUUUGAGCCCCAUGUUGCCU